RNAcentral lists this ribosomal RNA (505 nucleotides) under Coeliccia flavicauda. RNAcentral's name for it is "partial 16S rRNA". It matches the Rfam family "Bacterial large subunit ribosomal RNA", at positions 1829 to 2597 of the family's 2925-position model. The record is from RNAcentral. Lineage: Eukaryota; Metazoa; Arthropoda; Insecta; Odonata; Platycnemididae.
GUCCUCUUGUAUUUAUAUGAGGUCUGACCUGCCCAGUGAAUAUUUAACGGCCGCGGUAUUUUGACCGUGCAAAGGUAGCAUAAUCAUUAGCCUUUUAAUAGAAGGCUGGAAUGAAAGGUUCAACGAAUCAUUAGCUGUCUCAUUUAUAUAAUUUAAAACUUAAUUUUUAAGUUAAAAAGCUUAAAUUUUGUUGUAGGACGAGAAGACCCUAUAGAGCUUUACAUUUUAUUUUUUCAUAUUUUAUUGAUUUAUAAAUUUAUAUUAAAAUCUUAAUGUUUUGUUGGGGUGAUAAAAUUAUAUAAUAAACUUUUUUGUUUAAUAAACAAUUAUUUUUGAAUAAAUGAUCCAUUAUUAUUGAUUAAUAGAUUAAGUUACCUUAGGGAUAACAGCGUAAUCUUCUUUUGGAGUUCUAAUUUAUAAGAAGGCUUGCGACCUCGAUGUUGGAUUAAGAUAAUAAUUUGGUGUAGUAGUUAAAUUAAUAGGUCUGUUCGACCUUUAAAAUCUU